UAAGCUCUGGAAGUUGUUCAGCUUACAGCUUCCUGGUAGUUAUAGGAAGAGCCUGGUGGGAGUCUUACCCUACAUGUACACAGCUUAGUAUUUAGCCAAAACUCAAGGGAACACAUGCAAAUUGCUGAGGCUAUUAUCUGCAUAGCUGCCUCUUCUCCAGUACUCUAUCUGUGCCACAAAUUCCAGUUGCCUGAGUCUUCCGGACCUCUAACCUCUGACAUUUCAACUAAAUGAGACCUUCAGGCUCUGUUGGGGUUUCCCUUUCUCUGUGCUUGUCUGUAAAGAGCCUCCAGGCAGAAAGCCUGGGUGAUGAAAGGCUUCUUUGUGUGUCUCUCCUAUUUCUCCAGGUCUUGCAAGGUACCUCUGCUGUCCUUAACCUCCCGGGAUCUUCCGCCCACCCUGCCCAGGGCCUCUUCUGAUGGAGCAGACAGGGCGGCUUCACAGAGAUUGAAAUGACUCCACUUCAGCCUUCAGCUGCCUUUCACAGUGAGGAAGACAUUGCUGUAACACCCACCAGACUUUAGCAGGCCCCAGUGAUUGCAGCUUCAUUGAAAUUGAUGGUUUUCCUGAGGGGGCCAUGCAACCUAUUCCAAGACUCCAGAGUACAGAGGAACAGACUGCCCAUAGGAGGAGGACUCUGAGUGGCCUGGAUACAGUCAUCAAGGGGACUGUUCAGCUGCACCUUCAUCUUAAGCAACAUGUGUGCAUUGAUGGAGCUUACCUGGUGCCAAGAGAGUGGUGAAAGGCAUGGAAAUAAGGUUUCCAGUGGAAAGAAUCUCGUCGACCAGCUUGGGACACAUCCUACUCUAACUAAGGGGACAGGUUUUAAAAUUGAAACAUGGUUUCAGGAGGCUUACCCUAUGAAUAGUGUUGGGGGACCACUACCAGGAACAGGUGUCUGCUAUUGAGUGAUGCUGGGCUUCCCUGGUGGCGCAGUGGUAGAAGACCCACCUGCCAAUGCAGGAGACUCGAGUUCAAUCCCCUGGAGAAGGAAAUGGCACCCCACUGCUGUAUUCUUGCCUGGGAAAUCCCAUGGACAGAGCAGCCUGUCUCUGUCCAAGAGGGCUACAGUCCAAGGGUUGGCAAAGACUCGGACAUGACUUAGUGACUAAAUAACAACAACAUAGAGUGAUGCUAUGACCUUUCAUUGGAAGCAUGCUUCUGUAAGAGUUGAGCAUGAGCACACUAUUGUUGAAUGAACGGAUAACUAGGAAGCUUUAAGGCAACCUCGUUAGAGCCCGUACUCUUGUCCCUUUCCCAAACUCCUUCAGUCUCCCAGUUCUAUAAAAACCUGCAAAUGAAGGAAGCAGGAUACACAGUGGUUAUUAGCAUACGUCUGGGUUAAAUUGUCUUAUUUUGGAUCCUGUCCUGGAGGACUUGAGCAAGUGAUGGAACCUACCUGAGCUGCAGGUUUCUCACCUCUAGAAUGGGGAUCAUGAGGAUUAACUAAGAUAACAUGAGUAAAGUGCUCAGAACAAUGCACCUAAUUAUGUUGAAAAAGUGAAGGUGCAGUCGCUCAGUUGUGUCCAACUCUUUUCAAACCCAUGGACUGUAGCCAUGUGUCUCCUGCAUUGUAGGCAGUUUCUUUACUGCUAAACCAUUGGGGAAGCCCUGCAGAUUGGGUCAAAGGAAAGAGAAGCAGAAAGUGGAGUGGGUUCAGAUACCAAACUCAAAUACCAGGCUUCUCUGUCUAUGGGAUUCUGCAAGCAAGAAUACUGGAGUGGGUUGCCAUUCCCUUCUCCAGGAGAUCUUCCCAACCCAGGGAUUGAACCCAGGUCUCCCACAUUACAGGCAGAUUCUUUACCAUCUGAGCCACCAAGGAAGUCCAGUUAUGUUAAGAACAUAAGUUUUAAACAAAAAUUAACUGAUGGAGGGGGCUUCCUGGUGGCCCAGUGGCUAAGACUCUGUGUUCCUAAUACAAGGGGGCUCGGGGUCAAUCCCUGUUCUGGGAACUAGAUCCCACAUGCCACAACAAAGACCCGUUGCAGCCAAAUAAAUAAAUAAAAUAAUUUUUUAAAAGAAUUAGAAAAAGAAAGAAAAUUAACUGAUGGAGCUGAAGUUGACAGGAGCGGAUCCAAAUGUCUUUGAUAAACAGGGCAAAAGAAAGAUGAAUUGUCAGAUGGGCAAGUGGUCAGCUUGGUUCUCCAGAUAUCUCCAGGAACGUGGCCUUUGGAAUAAGAGGUUUGGGGAGAAAAAUAAGCCACGAAGAUCUUAUGGCGCCAACAGGGACUUUAGAGAUCACAGGUCAUAUGCGCCAGUCACACUCCCUUUUGUUCCUAGAGAUUUAAUAUCUACCAGCCUAUUAAAUGGUCAUGAUUUGGAGGAGAGAAGACAAGAAGAGGAAUUACUUUCAGCUGGCCCCGGUCUUUAAAUAACCCGGGGUACAGCAUCUUUCAAACACAAAGGAGACCAUGUGUAAAACAUUAGUUAAAUUCAGAUAUAAAUCUAGUCUUUGACCAGUCCAAAGCUAAUCAAUAUGCUUUUCUACUCUCUUUGAACUUUGCGUUUUCUGGCAACAACGAAAACCCCAAACCCCAUCCAAAACCAUCAUCCAGACAGCCCAACUCCUAUGCUCCCCUCUCUCGUGUCACAUAUUGUUGACAGAACUCCUCUCGUUACCACAUUCAUUCCAGUGGUGAUUCAAAUUCUUCUGCAGAAAUGGACUUGAAAGACAGAAAAUUGCUCUUGUAAUCACUUAAUAAGGAACCCUGGACAAGGAAUACAGGACUAUGAAUAUAGAUUUACUCUUAGCUUUUAUGGACGCAUUUCCCUCGGUUAUUUUCAUUGAAAAUCAUGAUGAACUAAUUUAAAUAGCAAGGUAAACUGAGAUGGAAAAUGAUCCAUAAUAAGAAUUUCGAUGGAAAAUAUAGAUUGGCCUGGUCUUCAGCACAUCAAGGAUUCUCUUGGUUUCAAUUGCAAAUUCGGAGAGAUUUGAAAUGUGUUUGUUUGAAUGUGUCAGUUUUAGGCAGAACUAAACUACGCUGUCCCUUUCCAAAAAUCAAGAAUCUGCCCUGGAAAAAAAUCAUGCAGUAUGAUGUGCAAAGCAGAGGGGGAGGAAAGAAAGUAGUGGGUGAGAAAGACCCACCCAAGGACUGCAGCCAGCUUCCCCAGGAAGAUUCAUGACCACGCUUCAAUCCUGUCCUGUGAUUCUUUCCAAGGGAUUUUACUAUAAAUCACUAAAAGCAACCGCUGCUGUUACCAGAGCUAUCUUUGCCUCAAAAAGAAGAAAAUUCAGGACAUGCAAUAUAAUCCUCUCGCUAUCUAAGAGAGAAACCAGCCCAUUUGUCAUAAGAACUGAAAACACCAGCUAUAUAGUAUAUUAAACAUUAGCGUUUCAUCUUUCAUAAAAGGGGGGGCACGCAUAGGAUGUGAUUGGAUGCAACCAUGAUAAAGGGACUUAAAUUGGAUUGACUAACUAUAACCUACAAAAACCAUUGUAGUACAAAUCCUUUUCAGUAAAAGGUAAGAAAAUUCUAUCAACACUUUUUUUUAACCACUCUGAGCUAUUCACAACAAAUAGAUCCUUACUCUUAGCAGAUGUAUAAGCAUUUAUGUAAUGCAGGGGUUUCAUAACUUGAAGAGUGUCAUCAAAGUCAGAGCUGAUACAGUGUUCCUCCCUUUGACUUGAAUGCCUUCUUCUUCCCUAUAUAGGGUGAUUAUUGCUUCACAGUGUCCCCGGUAUGAAAAGACUUUGAAAGGUCAUUUGCCUUGCAUCCCAACUAGCUGCAUUAGCAUUACCAAGGAGAGGCUGGUUAGAAAUGCACAGUCUUGGGGUCCACCCCAGUCUUACUGGCUCAGCUUCUGCAUUUCGACAGGAUCCCCAGGUGAUUCAUAGGCGUAGUGAAGGUGAAACUGUGCCACCCUAAGCCAUCCUGCUGCCUCUGAGCAAAGCGUGCACAUCGGAAUGGAUAGACUGGUCUGCUUCAGCCAAUUUCAGGUCCUUUAUAGUUUAUCCUGUGUGAGUCAUUGAGAGGAAAGAGGAAAUGCACUCAUUUAAGGAGGUCUUGCUUAGCCUAACAAAGCUAGCAACUUCUUCAAUACAUUCAGGUUCCUAUUCUUGGAAGAACUGCUGCUCUGUGUCCUGUUGCUUGGUCAUGUUGACUCUUUACGACCCUUUGGACUGUAGCCCACCAGGCUCCUCUGUCCAUGGGAUUUUUCAGGCAAGAAUACUGGAGCGGGUUGCCAUAUCAUUCUCCAAGGAUCUUCCUGACUCAGAGAUCGAACCCGAGUCUCCUGUGUUUUCUGCAUUGCAGGCGGUUUCUUUACCGCUGAACCAUUUGGGAAGCCCUGCAGGUUGGGUCAAAGGAAAGAGAAGCAGAAAGUGGAGUAGGUUCAAAUACCAAACUCUAAUAAAGUAAGGGUAGCACAGAAGCUGAGACUGUGAGGGAUGGGGAGAACAGUUUCACCAAAUUACCAGUUCCAAAAUUGUCUCUGCACUGUGGGUGAUUUAUAGCCCUGGAAGCUUAAAGGCUUGAGUCUCUUGCUGUAUUUUAUUUCAGAUUAGGAAUUUUUAUCUAGUACUUUCCUGCAGUUUAAAAUGAAGGCCCUGGAACUACAAAAAUGAAUUUAUCUGGUGGGCUGUGUUCAUUUUGUAGUUAUCCUGUAGGUUUCAGAUUUGUUACAGAACUGGAACUGGACAAUAGAAAAACUCUGUUGGUUAAUGGCAGCCAACUUCUAAACCAAAACUGAAGGACAUAGGAUAAUUAUGUAUAUGUUUCAGUGUCCUCAAAUUUAGCUGCACAUUAGAGUCCCCUAGAUAAAAGGUUUUUACACAGCUUUCUUGAGGUAUAACUGACAUAUAAUAAGCUGUAUAUAUUUUAGGUGUACAGUAGGAAGAAUUUUGAUAUGUUAUACAUCUGUGAAACUAUCACCAUGAUCAAGCUAAUCACCCCUAAAGUUUCCUUGUGCCCCUUGGCAACUCCUCCACCCAUUCUGCGACAACUAAUUGCUUUCUGCCACCAUAGGUUAGUUUCCAUUUUCUAGAAUUUUAAUUUAAUGGAACUAUACUCUUUUUUUUUUUUUUUUGAGGGGGGAGACCUGAUUUCUCUUACUCAACAUAAUUAUUCUGAGAUUCAUCCACAUUGUUGCCUAUAUUACUACUAGUUUGUCCUUUUUAUUGCUGAGUAAUACUCCAUUGUAUGAAUAUACCACAAUUUAUCUUAACCAUUUACCAGUGAAAGACAUUUGGGUUGUUUCCAGUUUUAAACAACUAUGAAUAGCACUGCUAUAAACCUCCAUGAACAAGUAUGAGCAUAUGAGUUUUCAUUUCUCUAGGUAAAUACCUAAAAGUGGGUAUGGUAAGUAUACAUUUAACUCUAAAAGAAACUGCCAAAUUGUUACCCAAAGUGACUGUACAAUACCAUUUUGCUUGCUUACCAGAAAUGUAUGAGUUCCAGUUGCUCCACAUCCUCUCUAGGAAUUGGAUUGGUAUUGUCAGUAUUUCUAACUUUAGCUGUUUGAAUAGAUGUAUAAUUGUAUCUCCAUCGUGGUCUUAGUUUACAUGUUCCUAGUGACUGCUGUGGAGAAGGAAACGGCAACCCACUCCAGUGUUCUUGCCUGGAGAAUCCCAGGGACGGUGGAGCCUGGUGGGCUGCUGUCUCUGGGGUCGCACAGAGUCGGACACGACUGAAGCGACUUAGCAGCAGCAGCAGCAGCAGCAGCAGCAGCAGUGACUGCUGACGUUGAGAAUCUUUUCAUGUGUAUGUUUGCCAUCCUUAUAUCUUUUUUGGUGAGAAUCUUUGAAGUCUUUUGCUUAUUUUUUAAUUGGGUUUUGUUUUCUUAAUUGUUGAGUUUUAAGAGUUCUUUAUGUAUUCUGAAUAUAAGUCCUUUGUCAGAUAUAUGAUUGAUAAAUACUGUCUCUCAAAGGGCAGAAGUUCUUAAUUUUGAUAAGGUUUAAUUUAUAUUUUCUUUAAUGGGUUGUACUUUUGGUGGUAUAACUGACCAAAGAUCACAAAGAUUUUCUUCUAGGUUAUUUUUCUAGACAUUUUAUAAUUUUAGGUUUUAUAUUUAGGUCUAUAAUCCAUUUGGAGUUAGUUUUUAUGUAUGAUGCAAGAUAUGGAAUGAUGUUUACUUUUUGCAUAGGGAUAUUCACUAUUUAUUGAAAUGACUGACCUUUCUCUAUUGAAUUGCCUUUGUACCUUUGUGCAAAAGCCAAUUGACCAUAUAUUUGUGGGUCUUUUCGAAAGUCUCCAUUCUGUUCCACUGAUCUAUCUUUAUACCAAUAUCACAUAGCCUUGAUUACUAUAGCUUUAUUAUUAGUCUUGAAAUCCAACUGUAUUCUUUCUCUAAAUAAGAAGUUUAGAAUUAACUUAAAUUUUACAAUAUUUGUCAACUUCUGGGUUUAAAAAGUCUAAUGGGAUUUUGAUUGGGAUUUGAUUUUAUCAAUCUAUUUGGGAAGAACUUACAGCUUAACAAUUUUAAAUAUCCCAAUCCAAGAACACAGUAUAUCUCUCAUAAGUGUGAUCAUUUUUUAAUCUCUUUUCAGCAAUGUAUUUUCAGUGUACAGGUCUUAUACUGCAUUUUUGAGAUUUAGUUUUAAGUAGUUGAUACUGUUAUGCCCUUGUAAAUGUUUAUGUAAGUUCAGUUUCCAACUGUUUGUUGUAACUAUUUAGAAAUACAGUUGAUUUUUUAAAAUAUUGAUCUUAUGUCCUGCAGCCUCACUAAACUCAUUUAUUAGUCUUAUAGCUUUUUUAGGUUCCAUAGAAUUUUCCACAUAGAUAUUAUGUUUUCGAGAGUAAAGACAGCUUUACUUCUUCUUGUCUAGAGUGGCUUCCUUUUAUAUAUUUUUUCUUGCCUUAUUGUACUUGCUAGAAGCUGUCUAGAGUGGCUUCCUUUUAUAUAUUUUUUCUUGCCUUAUUGUACUUGUUAGAAGCAGUAAAUUGCUAAAUAGAAAUAGUGACAGUGGACAGCCUUGCCUGUACUUGGUCUUAGAGGAAAGAGAGCCAGUCUUUUCCAUUAAGUGUGAUGUUAUCAUUAGGGUUUUCAUAGAUGCCCUUUCGCAAGUUGAGAAGUUCCCUACUUUGCUGAGAGUUGCUUUUUUAAAAAAUCAGAAAUGGAUCUUGAAUUUUGUCAAGUCUGCAUCUAUUGAGCUAUUCUUAUGGUUUUUCUUUUAAGCCUGUUAACAUGGUGAAUUACACUGAUUUUCAAAUAUCAAACUAACCUUGAAAUCUUGAGGUAAAUCCAUUUGUUUACUAUUUAUUAUCAUAUAUAUAUAUAUAUGUAUAUAUAUAUAGUUAGAUUCCAUUUGCUAAAACUUACUUAAGAAUUUUUACAUCUAUACUCAUGAGAUAUCAGUCUCUGCUUUUCUUUUAUUGUAAUGUUUUUGUCUAGUUUUGGUAUCAGAGUAAUUCUAAUCUUAUAGAAUGAGUUGGGAUAUGUUCCAUCCCCAUCCCCUUCAAGUUACUUGAAGUGUUUGUAUAUAGAAUUAAUAUUAUUUCUUCCUUAAAUAUUGGAUAGAAUUCAUCUUGGACUAAAAUUUUCUUUGUGGGAAGAUUUUUAACCACUAACUCAAUUUAUUUAACAGAUGUAGAGCUAUACUGGUUAUCUAUUUUUGUUUGUUUGUUUGAAUAAUAAAUUCUAUCCAAAAAAUUUUAUAUUUCCUCUAAGUUGGUCAUAUUAUUGGCACAAAGCUAUUCUUGAUAUUAUCUUAUAGUAAUUUUAAUAUCUGUAGAAUACAUAGUGAUAUCACCUCUCUCAAUCCUGAUAUUAGUAAUUUGUGUCUUCUUUCUCUUUUUUUCCUGAUCAGUCUGGCUAGAGGUCUAUCAAUUUUACUAAUCUUCUCAAACAACCAGCUUUUAAUUUCAUGUAUUUUUCUCCAUUGUUUUUGUUUUCUGUUUCACUAAUAUCUUCUCUAAUCUUGAUAAUUUACAUUUUCCUGCUUAGUUGAGGUUUAAUUUGCUCUUUUUCUAGUUGCUUAUGGUGGUAUCUAAAGUCAUUGGUUUAAGGCCUUUCUUCUUCUGUACUAUGUUUAGUGGUAUAACUUGCCUAUAAAUAUGUUUUGGCUAAACUUCAGAAAUUUUGAUAUACUGUGUUUUCAUUUAGUUCCAGAUUAUUUCUUAAUUGCCCUUUUGAUUUCUUCUUUGACCUGUAGGUUAUGUAGAAGUGUGCAAAUUCAUUCCCAAACAAUUGGCUACUUUCCAGAUAUCUUUCUGUUAUUAACAUUUAGCUUAAUUCCUCUGUAACAAAAAAACAUUCUUCUGAUUUGGAUAUUUUAAAAUUUCUUAAGACUUAUUUUGUAGUUAGACUAUGGUCUAUCUUGGAAAUUUUUCUGUGUGCUCUUGAAAAGAAUAAGUACGCUGUUAAGUGGAAUGUUCUUAAAAAUGUUAAGUUAAAUUAGUUGAUAGCAUUGCUCAAGUCCUCUGUAUCCUUACUGAUUUUCUAUUGUACAUGUUCCAUCAAUUAGUAAGAGAAAGGUUUUGAAAUCUUCAACUAUAAUUAUAGAUUUGUUUUUUUCUCUUUUACAGUUCUAAAUAUCCCACCACCAAAGCCACACAUGAUAAAAAUCAAUUCAGAACCUCUGGGGGCGUGACCCCAGCCAUCUUUAUGUUUUUAACUCCCCAGAGUGAUUUGGGCUUCCCUGGUGGCUCAAAUGGUAAAGCGUCUGCCUGGAAUGCAGGAGACCUGGAUUUGAUCCCUGGGUCUGGAAGAUUCCCUCGAGAAGGAAAUGGCAACCCGCUCCAGUACUCUUGCCUGGAAAACUCCAUGGAUGAAGGAGCCUGUCUCUGCACCUCAUCUACAUACCGGCACUCAGGAGAUGGAAGCAGAGGAGCAGCACUAGACUGACCUGCCCGAAGAAAUGUUCGACUGCACAAGCAUAGCCUUGGGGGGAACUCAGAAGUUUUCACCACCUGGAGCUUUCCCAUGGACAGAGGAGCCUAGCAAGCUACAGCCCAUGGGGUUGAAGAGUCACGACUGAGUGACUACACAACAGCUUUCAUGAAGGCUUCAUGUGUGGCUCUCCCAGGAGCUCUGACAGCCUACAGGAAAAGCCACCCACCCCCAUCUCGGAGGCCAACCCUUCUGCGUGGUGGCUAGCAGUGACAAAACCAAGAUGAAUCACCAUAUGUCAGGAUCCAUAAAUUGUGAAAAGUCUAAGCAGCAGGUCUGGGAUGAGAGAUCAAGGCCAAAGGUAAAUAUUUCUGACAUAGGCUUUUGUUUUCCGAUGGUGGCAGCUUGGAUUUCCUUCCUGUUGGUGAGAAAAGGAUGGAGGGGUUAGGCGGGGCUGAUCCAGCUGCAGAAGGAAAGGCUGCUAGAGCGGGAGGGGACUGCACUUCUCACUCCCAGGGAGACUUCCCACAGCUCCCCCGCUUCUCCUUGCUGAGGCUGGAGGUAGGGGGCACCCAGGGAGAAGUCUCUACCUCCUUCUCUUAGGGAAGUUCACCCUGGUUGUGCUGACCUUACUGGCCUAAGGGCCUUGCUUCUGGGUCAGAGGACACCAGCCUCAGUGCUGAAAUGUGUCUCCUGGACUUAUUUCUAAUCCUCUGGCAGGUCAGUGUUGACUCACGCUCUCCCUCCACAUGGGAUUAGAGGAAGGGGGCUUAGGGUCAUUUUUGGCUACUGAGCAUCUGAACCCCCUUCCCAUGUUUGGGAUGCUAUCACUUCAUGAAUUUCAGCGCCCUAAAAAAGACUGUUCUAGUCUUCUAGAAGUCUCUAGAAAAGUCUAGUCCACUUUGCAGCUAGGACGUGGACAUACAACCAAGACUUGGCCAAUCAGGUGCUCUUGCUCCGGAAGGAAUCAGAAGUUAUUAGCAUCAACAAAGUGGGACAUUGGAGAAUCCUUUCUGGGGGAGGCUGCAGGGUGACAAAAAUAUCCAGGCUCCCACUGCCCAUGGUGGUAUCAAGUGUUGAGGGCUGAAGACAGUGAUGGUGGAAGCCGUGGCACAGCACUCAGCAGUGGCAGCAGAGGUACCCUCAUCUCACUCUUGCUAGGCUGUGAUUGUACCUGUGGCCUCAGAUAUGAUCCUGAGUUCUCAGUUCUUAUGUUUUCUGAUCCUGUUUUUCAGCCUUCUCAGGGAUUAUUCGAUAGCUUUUUGAGAAAUUCCUUUUCUUUAAUCUGUCAGAGUUAGUUUCUGUUGCUUGCAGCUGAAAACCCUGAUUCUGCCCAGCUACAACUGGUUUCAGUCAAUCAUUUGCAGAUGCUCCUUUUUUUUUUUUCUUUCCUGCUUGCAUUCUUCAAGCCUCUGUCCUCCUGGCAAUUCCACAAGUAAUCCAGAAAAGGAGGAACGAGCAUGCAGAGAAUUUGACCACAGCUGGGAAGUGAGCCAAGAGAACUCUGAAGAACUUGAGUAUUAGCUCCUUCACUUUGUUAGGUGGGGUGGAUGUGGGGCUGUGGGAUGUUCCUCUUAUGUUGUUCUUCUCAUCUCUAAUUUGGUUAUACAGUGAUUCCCUAUGGCACUUACAGAGUCCAUGAGGGCAUGGACUGAGUCGCCUUGUUUUCCCCAGUAUCCAGGCCAUACAGGAUGCUCAGUAAAUAGUAGUAAAUCGUGACAGAGAAAGUUUGAGAAAGAAUUCAGGGGAAAGAAGGUACAUACAUCCUUAGUGUCUCUGUAAAAAAAGAACUGUCUCAACUCUGUGGGCUCGUGAGUCGAGCCAACACUGCAGGAAUUUGGUGGUGUUGAUUGAAGAGCAGGAACCUGGAGCUUUAGCCAUCAGACUGUCAAAGAUGGAGACACACUCCCAGGCAGGCAGAGCCUAACCUGGGUCUAGUCCAGGGAGAAUGUCAGUCCAUUCUUUCUUGGAAGGGAACCCCAACAGUGCCUGCAAGUUCAACUGAGAUGGCUUUCCAGAAAGCAUUUUGAAUCAAUUUCAAAUGCAUUGACAGUACUUGGUUGAAACCCCAUACAGAGGUUGAGGGUGGGUGGAGUUAGUUUGAAUCUCGAAGACCAAGAGCAGGUUACCUUAACCAUAAAAGAGCCUCAGUGCAUCUAUUGUAUGGGCUUCCCAGGUGGUACAGUUUAGGUGAAGAAUCUACCUGCUGAUGCAGGAGACUCAGGUUACAUCCCUGGGUUGGAAAGGAUCCCUGGAGAAGGAAUGGCAACCCACUCCAGUAUUCUUGCCUGGAAAAUUCCAUAGGGUUGUAAAGAGUUGGACACAAGUGAGCAUACACACACGCACACACGCAUCUUGUUUUGAGUAACAUUUAUUCAGAUUUGAGUCCACAAGGAAGUGUUUGCUACAAACUGACUCUGGUUCUAAUUUUUGUUUGUGGGAUUAACCAAGGAAACAUUUACCUUAGGCAGCUCUCUUAACUAACCUAAGUUUUCAUUUCUUGAUUUUAAAAUCUCUAGUUGUAGAGAGUUGGGGCUACCUUGCUCACUAAUUUCCUAGCGAAAAUUCGAUGUUUCUGUUAAGAAUCAUGUGUUGUUUUCCAAAUACCCUUGCAUCCAAGUACAAAGCUGGACCCAGGAGGCACAGACAGCCCAUGGUGUGGCCAUGUUCUGAAAAGACUAGGCUGCUGCUGCUGCUGCUAAGUCGCUUCAGUCGUGUCCGACUCUGUGCGACCCCAAAGACGGCAGCUCACCAGGCUCCCCCAUCCCUGGGAUUCUCCAGGCAAGAACACUGGAGUGGGUUGCCAUUUCCUUCUCCAAUGCAUGAAAGUAAAAAGUGAAAGUGAAGUCGCUCAGUCGUGUCCUACUCGUAGCGACCCCAUGGACUGCAGCCUACCAGGCUCCUCCAUCCAUGGGAUUUUCCAGGCAAGAGUACUGGAGUAGGGUGCCAUCACCUUCUCCGAAGACUAGGCUAGACCCUUCUAAGACCCUUCUCAAGCCAGGACCUAAGGCUAGCAGUGAGAACGUUAGAAGGGGGAAAACACUGUAACUAGGAUCUGUAACCAGUUACAGGUCCUUCUGAACUGUUUGUGGUGCUUAGUUCGGCUAGUGAAGCUGAAUUUCCAAGAUAUCUACUUCUAGCCUAUGCUUGUCCCUUGGACUGCAAGGAGAUCCAACCAGACCAUCCUACAGGAAAUCAGUCCUGAAUAUUCACUGGAAGGACUGAUGCUGAAGCUGAAACGCCAAUAUUUUGGCCACCUGAUGCAAAGAACUGACUCAUUUGAAAAGACCCUGAUGCUGGGAAAGAUUGAGGGUGGGAGGAGAAGGGGACAACAGAGGAUGAGGUGGUUGGAUGGCAUCACCAACUCGAUGGACUUGAGUUUGAGUAGGCUCCAGGAGUUGGUGAUAGACAGAGAGACCUGGUAUGCUGCAGUCCGUGGGGUCGCAAAGAGUUGAACACGACUGAGAGAUUGAACUAAGCCUAUGCUUAUCUUUAAAUUCACAUCGAACAGUAGAAGAUCAUUAAAGCUGCUCAUACAUCCAAUACUGUCUGGGGUUAGUGAAGGAGAGAAUUGUGAAACAUCAUGUGUGUGUGUUAGUCGCUCAGUUGUGUCUGACUCUUUGCGACCCCAUGGACUGUAGCCUGCCAGGCUCCUCCAUCCAUGGGCUUUUCCAGGCAAGAAUACUGGAGUGGAUUGCCAUUUCCUUCUCCAGGGAUCUUCCAGACCCAGGGAUUGAACCCAGGUCUCCUGCAUUGCCGUCUGACUCGUCUUACACAUGCACGUAUAUUUCAAACCUGUGCUGUGCAUCUUGGUUUCAGCCCGUGAAAUUCUGUGGUGACUGUUUUUGCUCCGAGAAGGUGCUGCGCCUCUUUCCGUCCUGGGCUUAGAAUGAUAAGCAGAUUAGAAGGUCAUGAGUGACAGCGGCCAGGAUGGUCCUCUUCCUCCGCUUCCUCUCUUGGGAGAGGCCGGAGGACUCUGGAGAAAACAGAGAUGGGAAGGAAAACAAGUCAAUCCCAGCGUGGGGAGCAGGGAGGGGAGAGAAUGGUGACAGACUGUGGGAGCUGCCAGCAAACAUCUGAUUCCCUGCAUUGCUCGGAGGAGAGGAGGCAAGUCUUCCCAAAUCCGGGCGCCCCAACACGAUUGCGAAAGCCACGCCCAUCGGCCCACAGACGGCCAACACUGCUGCAGAACCAGUGAGACACCUUGGGAAACCGCCCGAGUUUCUGGAGACAUCUCUGUAAAAGCUGCCUUUCGCCCUGGUGGAUGCUGGAAUCCCAGCACUGGGUGACCCAGAGCCGCCUUUUGUUCACGGCAAAGUUAAUUUCAGAAAUGUCGUUCUCGGAUGGAUGCGGUCCUGGGGCGAAGAGUCAAUGCCUUCUCCCACCGGCGGCCGCGGGGCUGGCUGAGCACGAGCGCAGAGGCACUCCUCGAGCUUUGAAGUCAACAGAGGUAGGCAGGGCAGGCCACGGUGGAAAACUGUGAAGUCAGCAGAGUUAUCGCGGGCACUCCUCCCUUCCCCCUUGCUUCCCCUUUCUCCACCCAUUUCCCCCCUCUCAGCUUGCAGCUUCUCAUUUCCCAGGGGAUCGUGCAACAGAAGAAAAGCCGUCCAGAGAUACGAGGGGCCAGCCCACGGCUCCAGCUAUCGAAGUAUGCUCCCCCCCCCAGCCCCCACCAAGUCUAAAACAAACACAGGAACGCAUUCCAUACAUUUCCAAAGACUAGAGAGCGCACACAGAAAUCCUGGCCUUUGUGCCUUCUCCCUUAAACCCCACGAGUUUGGGGCCUCAAGUUUGAAGCCGGCUUCCUGCCUCCCCUGGGUUUUUUGAAAGAUUCAAAAGUGCCUCAGACCAAGACAGCUGCUUGGUUGAUGGCUCACAUUGAAACCACAAAUUAUAAAAUGAUAAAUCGCUGCUCAAAGCUCUUCCAGGAAAGACUAUGUUGUCAAGAUUAAGUUACAACCUCAUGGACCUAUGAGUGAGUCGAGCUGCUGACUAACUCUCACACUUCUUUUCCUGCCCAAGAUGUUUUUGCUUCGUGAACUUUCACUGUUUCUGAAUACUUGAAACAAAUGACUGAAGGCAGAAAAAACAUCAGGGGACUUCUUAACCCAUGGAGCUUUUUACAGGCUUUAUUAUGUAACGGCUGCUUUCGUUUUGUGAGACCCAAAGGAAGUUGAAGAAAUCUCUUUCUUCUUGAGCACUUAACUGCCAGCGAUCUGUGAGAAAUGGCUUCGUGUGGGCAGCUCCACUCACUUGAAACUCUAGUUGGAACGUGUAGUGUGUGCUAAAUCAAAGCUGGUUUUAAGGAAUUUGGGUCUUAAAGUAUCUGUUCAGUGAUUUGGGCAGGAUUGCAACAUGAAUUACUGUAUUUGGUUCCCAUGAAAUAAAUUCUUUGGACUACUCUUAAAGGGUCUGGUCUAGUGAUCGAGUGUGACAAAUAAUUAGGCCACAUGCAUUCUCUCAUGUAAUGAUGCUUCUCUCUGCCAGGGUUUUGGCAGGCAGAAGGAGGUAAGAUGAAAUGCUUGUUUGACACCUAUAUAUUGCCUUGCUGAGGGGUCUGGCACACUGACCUCAUUGAGAUCACCUGGGGCUGGAGGAAGACCAUCAUCUAUCCAUUAUGUGUCUCCAGCACAGGGCCUUGGUUACACAACUGUGAUCCGGUUUCUCCAAGGCCACUCAAGUCUUGAGGACCAUCAGACUGUUGUUUCUGAUUUUGCACCAUCAAAAGUAAUACCAUGAGGGCAUUUCUUGGUAGUUAACUGUGGUCAUGCAACUAAUUCCGGACUGUGGAGUGUGGAUGAACGUGAGGUUCAUACUUCCAUGUCUGGACCAUAAAUUUUCCUGAUUGACUCUCCCUGUUCUUCCACCACUACCCCUAUUUGGUGGCUGAAAAGAGUGGACUUAACAUAGAAGAAACUUGGAUCCUUGAAUGGCUUCAUGGAGCAGAGUCCCUGAUGAUAUGUACUGGAUAGUGAUAAGUAAACAAAAAAUAUUAUUUUAAGCCAACUGAAAUUUUGGAAUUGUUUUUAAUAGCAGUCAGCCUAUCUUGACUAAUACAGAAGAUAAAACUUGAAGUUGCAUGCUGCUAUAAGGAAAAAAAAAAUCUAAAAUAUAUGAUUUUGAAUUGGUAGCUGGGUAGGGAUGGUGUGAAAACAGAUAUCAGAGGGCAGAAUACUUGAGAGUUUGUAAUGUCAUCACAAAAGAUUUGCUACAACUGCUGCUUGUGACAACUUAAAAGGUGGCACAUUACUUGCCUAGUCAACCUAUAUAGCUCUACAAGAAGUUUUUGGAAAGAGAGUAGGUAGUAGGUAUUGUCUACUAUUUGCUGACUUUAGUAAAGCAUUAGAACAAACAGAAAAGCUCAAGCAAGAACCGGCCAUUUUUUAAGCAGGAAAGUACUCUUGCCUGGAAAAUCCCAUGGAUGGAGGAGCCUGGUGGGCUACAGUCCGUGGGGUCGCUAAGAGUCAGACACAACUGAGUGACUUCACUUUCACUUUUCACUUUCAUGCAUUGGAGAAGGAAAUGGCAACCCACUCCAGUGUUCUUGCCUGGAGAAUCCCAGGGACAGGGGAGCCUGGUGAGCUGCCGUCUAUGGGGUUGCACAGAGUCGGACACGACUGAAGCAACUUAGCAGCAGCAGCAGCAAAGGAGUUAGAAGAAGUCCAGAAAUUUGGGGGAUGAAAGAUUAUAAAGCUGACUACUUCUUGACACUAAAAUAGGAAACAAAAUAUUAAAAACCUGUGAGUAACAAAGGCCCAGUUAGACCCAGACUUCAAUGGCAAAGAUCUGAUUAAGAGUGUGGUCUUCCCAUCCGAGUCUAAUGGCCUGAAGAUAGCCCCCAUUAAACAGAGAGAGGAACCAAGGAAGGAAAACAAAGACAGAAUCAUGCUUGAAAAUUAUGUAUAGGAAAGAACUUUGGGUGUGGUUACUGGCACACGUUGCUGACUGGAAGCAAACAGAUCAAAAGCCUACCAAGGUUUUGAGGGAAUCAUGUUCUCAAAGAAAUCCUUUGAUUAUUUGAGUUGAAAGUAACCUUUGGAUUUCAUACUAGAACCAGUAGGAAGUAAGCUGAGCAGACUCUAAGGAAGGUGUAUUCCCCAACACCCUUUUUCUGUAGAGUAGCAAAGCCAGGACCCGUGGAGUAGAUAAGGGAAUUCCUUGGAAAGAUGAGUAAGAUUUAAACAAAGAACUUUACUUACCCUUCAUAGUAACUAUCCCAGCAGAAUUCUGGAAUUGCUGUGGAUAAGUGAACUAUAAGUGAUUACUGUAUUUCUCCUAUUUGUUCUUUUUCUGAAUAAGCAUUUAUUUCAUUUUUCUGUCCUUUUUGUUUGCUUUUAAUAAACUUCUGGUUGACUUUACUAAUUAGGAUGAGCAUGAAUUUCUUUUGUAAAAAUGUAAGUAACUAAAACAGAAGCAGGGGAAUUCCCUGCUGGUUCAGUGGUUAGGGCUCUGCACUCUCACUGCCAAGGGUUUGGGUUCAGUCCCUCCCUGGUAGGGGAGCAACAACAACAGAACAAAAAGCAGAGACAGAUUUAUCAAGAAAUUAAUGAAACCUAAGCUCUAAGGGUCUCUGCCAAGGCUCCACUGCACCCUCCCCUUCAUCACAUUUCCCUUCAUGUCAGUUUGUGUUGGAGUGACCCUGGAUAUUCUGGGUAUCUGGCUAAGGGAAAGCUGAAUUGAGG
Long non-coding RNA from Bos taurus (domestic cattle), 16448 nucleotides. Lineage: Eukaryota; Metazoa; Chordata; Mammalia; Artiodactyla; Bovidae. The record is from Ensembl.